RNAcentral lists this ribosomal RNA (460 nucleotides) under uncultured bacterium. Its description in RNAcentral is "bacterial SSU rRNA". It matches the Rfam family "Bacterial small subunit ribosomal RNA", at positions 29 to 526 of the family's 1533-position model. The record is from RNAcentral.
AGCGAACGCUGGCGGCAUGCUUAACACAUGCAAGUCGCACGGGCAGCUUCGGCUGUCAGUGGCGGACGGGUGAGUAACGCGUAGGUAUCUAUCCUUGGGUGGGGGACAACCGUGGGAAACUACGGCUAAUACCGCAUGAUGACUGAGGUCCAAAGCUCGGCAACGGGCGCCUGGGGCGGAGCCUGCGUACGAUUAGCUAGUUGGUGGGGUAAAGGCCUACCAAGGCUGCGAUCGUUAGCUGGUCUGAGAGGAUGAUCAGCCACAUUGGGACUGAGACACGGCCCAAACUCCUACGGGAGGCAGCAGUGGGGAAUAUUGGACAAUGGGCGCAAGCCUGAUCCAGCAAUGCCGCGUGUGUGAAGAAGGUCUUCGGAUUGUAAAGCACUUUCGACGGGGACGAUGAUGACGGUACCCGUAGAAGAAGCCCCGGCUAACUUCGUGCCAGCCGCCGCCGUAAGAC